This 569-nucleotide unclassified non-coding RNA is filed under the name Hevea brasiliensis (rubber tree). The record is from RNAcentral. Lineage: Eukaryota; Viridiplantae; Streptophyta; Magnoliopsida; Malpighiales; Euphorbiaceae.
GGAAAAUCUGCCGUAAAACUAUCCUAAACAGAGGAAAACAACAGAAGACUUAUUAAGAAAGGCGAGGAUGAAUCUAAUUCGAAGGAGGGAAGAAGAUGGCAUCGGAAGACCUCUUGGAAGAGAAGGUUUUCACCAAAUCCGCAUCGAUGUUGAAAGCUGCUUGAAUAACUUCAGGUGAUAGAGAUUUCCAUACACCAAUACUGCCGGCUAAGUGAGUGAAAACAGGAUUAGGUGUGCUGAUAAUGGAGAACCAUUCCAUUCCUUCCGGAUCUCCGAUCUUUGAUACUACAAAGAAUCUUGGUACUAUGAAUAGAUUUCCAGCUUCCACUCUUGUUUGGAGAACCUUCUUCCCGUCUACUCCUACAACUUCGGCUCUUCCACUACCUUUCACGAUGUAGGUCACUUGCAACGCCGAAUCGCAAGAGAAUCCAGGUGAACACAUAGCACUUCCAUCCAAUCGAACCAGAUCAGCUCCCAAUCCUACCUCCCCGACCAGCGGCAGAUUCUUUGUGUUUAGAACCACAACACGUCCUCCAUUCUUCACGUCCACAUCAAGCGGUGCCUCCUCG